Molecule: long non-coding RNA, 4164 nt
Filed under: Homo sapiens (human)
Lineage: Eukaryota; Metazoa; Chordata; Mammalia; Primates; Hominidae
Description: HSALNT0317736
Source: RNAcentral
UGCUGUGGGGGGAGGGGGUUGUUCAAGGGAUGGGGACGAUCAGGGUCUCUGGGAAGUGCUGACGUGUGCGCGUGUGCGGUGUGUUGCUUGUGGGUGCGUGUGUGGUGUGUGCAUGUGUGUGCGCGCGCGUGUGUGCGGGGUGUGCCGUGAGCGUGUGCCCGCGGUUCGGGGGAUGAGUAGGGGCGCUGACUUUUAGGACCAGCCAUUUGAGUCAAGCUGGAGACGACGUCUUAGAACCUAGGAUGAGUCUCGUUUGGUUUUAGUCUGCAAAGCUCGUCUGCAUCAGACAGGAAUUUUCCCCAGACGCGGGUGCACGUGAAUUAAUUCAUCAGAAGGCGGUUCACGGCCUGAGUGAGGGGGACGAGGGCGGCGAAUUCCUCCGCCUCAUUCCUACCCUGACGAUUCGAGCCUUAGCAAGUUCUGGCCUGUGGAGCCGUCAUCCAGAGCGCACAGCUUCAUGCCCUUGAAGGGCGCAGUGUGUCCCGUGGUGCCCGGUGGGCCCGGACAGAGACCCCAGAGGCUCUGUCUGAAGGAAGCUGCACCCACAGACUCCAUCCAGGCAGCGCGGGCGCGGUCCUGUCGCCUACCUUUCUCGGAAGCCAUCUGCCCAUGUGAAUCUAUGUGAAGGCCCUUCAUGCGCUCCUGGACAUCUGCGUGGGAUUUACUUCAACUGCUAUCGCUGCGAGGAGGACGAGCAUGUUUCACUGUAUUUUUAGCAGAGAGUGCAGAUUUUAGAACCUCGCGAACGGUCCUGUAUCUCCUGCACGAUGACUCUCCAGAACAGGAAUAGUGACCCUUCCUUUGCAUUUAUGGUGCAUAGGUUUUCAAAGGACAGUGUGUAAAUCAGCUUGUGUAAUAAUUGUGGCACCCACGCGCGCAAGCAGACUUACCAUGAGCUGACUUCCACUGAUUAUUUCAGUUUCCAGGGAAACGAGGUUUGCAGCCCCCUCCAGUGAGGGCGGAGCGGCCUCUCCAUUCCCAAUGCAGCAAGGCUGCUGCAGCCACGAUGAUUAGGCUUUGGAGGAGGAAGUGAACGGAUGGGGCCUCAUCCUCCUGCCUCCCUAAAGGGUGAGGGUGGAAGGAUGGGGCUGUGCCCUCUUAGGGCAGGGAAAAACAGCUUGGAGGGGUUUCUGCCAUCAGAGAUCCCAUAGGAGGCAGGUCAGUCCUGCAGAAUUUCUCCCCAGUCUGGCCUCCAGCCUCCCUGGCCCCUUUCUAGAGGCCUCCAUCCCACUGGCGGCUUGCUCCUGCCACCGGGCCUCUGCACAGUCACCUCCUGCAGCCUGGGGUGUGUCGCCUCUCCACGUCCUCACCGGCGUCUGCCUUUGCAUUUCCCAGAUGCUCGCUUCACCCCACUGAGAUGUAACUCAGUUUUGUGGGAUCCCACUGCCCUCCAGGUGCCGCUCCGAGUGCUCUACACAGAUUUUCAUUCAGUCCUUGCGGCACACGAAGGGAUGGCCUCUGCACUUCAGCUGGUUUCUGACACCUAAAAACAGAAGUGGAAAAGGGAGCAGACGCAGCCACAUUUUGAAAGCUGAUUCGGUUGCUUUCUGGCAGAAUCCCUGCCCCCAAGCACCUGCCAGGCCCACCCAUGAAGCCUCUUCCCACGCCUUAACUCUGCCCCAUGAGGGGACCUCAAGCAGUUGCAGUCUAGUCAGGUGAUUUGCAGAGCUCAGGGCUCAGGGAGGGGCACCCACCUCAGAAAAAAGCGCCGUGCUCAUGAGAAAUGACUUCUACAGGUUGUUGGGGAAAGAGGAGUUAUUUUAAAGAUCACAGAGCCCGUGAUGUGCCAGGCGCACCCACACAGGGCAUAUAGUCCCCGCAGCUGCCUCUGUGCUGGGGCCACGUCACCGUCCUGUCCUAAAGACAAGCAAUGUGAAGCCCAGAGAUGGUAUCUUAAAACAAUCGUGUGGUUUUUUUCUGAUUACAACAGCAAUUGUGUUAAUCCAACAAUAUUUUUCCUAUCAACUGUAAACCUUAUUUUAAUAUUUACAUAUUUAUUAGCAUUUAAAAUUCAAUCUCCUAGAAUAUUGACUUCAAUUAGUUUGGCUGAUUCUAAUUUUUUUUUUCUAAUUUGUUUAUCACUUAACUUUUUAAGUACUUUUUUUUUUUAGACAGAGUCUUGCUCUGUCACCCAGGCUGGAGUGCAGUGGUGCAAUCUCGGCUCACUGCAACCUCUGCCUCCUGGGCUCAAGCGAUUCUCCUGCCUCAACCUCCCGAGUAGCUGGGACUACAGGCUCACACCACCAUGCCCAGCUAAUUUUUAUAUUUUUAGUAGAGAUGGGGUUUCACCAUGUUGUCCAGGCUGGUCUCGAACUCCUGACCUCAAGUGAUCCCCCACCUCAGCCUCCCAAAGUGCUGGGAUUACAGGUGUGAGCCACCGUGCCUGGCCUGUUUUUAGUACUUUUAUCCUUUAUCUUUUUAACUACGUAAGUACUCAACAUUUUAAAUUAUUAAUCUUCACCAUGUUAUUUCCAAGAACAAUCACGAUUGAUCUUUCAGUUACACAGCCACGGUGUGUGCCUCUCUGUGUAACUCUGCACAGCUGGUGAUUUACUGAAAGAACUUACUCUCAUAAAACCACAGCCAGCGAGUUCUCAGAGACACAAUAAUGCACCUUAAUUAUGAGUUUAAAAGCUCUUGUCUUGUGAAAUGUAAUCGAUCCACAGAAAAAUCAUAAAGUAUACAUGUAAUAGCUUAAUGACUUAUAAAUGAAGAUCUGUAUACUUCCCACUCGAAAAACGGAAUAUUGCAGGAUUUGAGUACACAACCCGUACCUUUCCAACGACAGCCUCCCUCCCACCAGAGCUUCUGCUGAGUUCACUUGAAAUCACUUCCUUGCAUUUAUUUAUACUUUUAUUACCUUGAGGUGCAUCCCUAACCAUUCUAGUUCGAUUUUGCCUGGUGUUUGAACUUUAUAUUAAUGGAAUCAUAGGACAUAAUUCUUAUAUCUCUGGUUUCUUUCAUUCAACUUUGUGUCUGCGAAAUGUAUCCAUGUUGCAUGCAACGGGGGCUCAUUCAUCGCUGGUUACUGAUUCACUGCAUGAGUAUGACACAGUUUAUUAACCAUUUCACUGCUGAUGAACAUUUGAUCAUUUCUAGUUUGGGAAUAUUAUUAAUAAUUUUUGAACCUUCUUAUUUGUGUGCCCUGAUGUACAUGGACAUGCAUUUUAGGGGUGUAUACUUAGGGAAAUUGCCGGUUCAUGAGUAACACCUAUCUUCAGGUAUUACUUUUUGUGCCCUUUUAUGCUGAACUACAAUUUACGUGCAAUACCAAUCAUUCAUAUUAAGUGUACAACUCAGUGAGUUUAGACAACUGGACACCUUGUUGUGAGUCACCACCACCGAGAUGAUCCAGCACUGUCCCAACUCCCCCCAAGUUCUCCUUUGCAGGCACCCUCUCCCUCCAUUCUGGGCACAGGCAACCAUGAACCACUAUCUGUCACCGUAGCUUUAGUAUAAAAUUUCACAUACAUGGACUCAGGGAGCAUAGAGUCUUUCCUGUCUGGCUUCUUUCCGCUGGCAAAAUGCUUGGAGACUUUUCCACGUUGCUGCAUGAAUCAAUGGAUCAUUUGUUUUCGUGGCUGAGCAGAAUUCCACCAACAUUUGUUUACUCAUCCAUGAAAUGAUGGACAUUUGGUGUUUUUCCAUUGAGAUUGUUAUGAAUAAUGCUGCUAUUGUCAUUCAAGGACAAGUCUUCUGUGAACAUCUGUUUUCACUUCUCUUGGGUACAUCCUUAGAAGUGGUAUUGCUGGACUGUAUCAAAAGUUAAUAUUUAACUUUCAGGAAACUUACAAACUGUUUUCCAGAGUGGCUGUACCAUUUUGCAUUCCCAGACCGAAGUGUGAAAGCUCCAGAUGCCCCACGCCCUCACCAGCCCACGGUGUUGUCAGCCUUAAUAGUGCUGACCAUUCUGCCUGUUAAUAUGAUGAAUUACACUGAUUCAGUUUCAAAUGUCCAACCAAGCUUGCACUCCAGAGAUGAAGCCCACUUGAUCACAUGGAUUAUUCUUUUAAUAUAUGAUGGAUACGACUUGGCUGUUCUUUUGUUGAGGAUUUUUGUGUUUAUGUUAAUGAGGAUAUUAUUUGUAGUUUUCUUUUCUUGUAAUGUUUUUGUCUUUGUUCAGUGUCAGAGUAAUGCCAACUUCAUAAAGUGAGCUGGGAAGUA